RNAcentral lists this long non-coding RNA (1388 nucleotides) under Triticum aestivum (bread wheat). RNAcentral describes it as "long non-coding RNA (TAES_LNC022904)". Lineage: Eukaryota; Viridiplantae; Streptophyta; Magnoliopsida; Poales; Poaceae. The record is from RNAcentral.
AAAAAAGUAUAAACUUGUAUUACUCAAGCAGCAACCUUACACUCGUCCUUACACAAAUCAUCGACCUCGAGGGGGCGGAGCCGAGCCAGACUAUAGUUCUCCUUUCAGUUUUUGCAAAACUUGCUAAAAUAUCACUAACUACAUUUUGAGAACAGCUGAUAUAAGUAAUACGGGCCAUACGAAGAGACUUCAAAUGCUUGAUCUCCGCCACCAAAGAAGCAUACACAGACCUGUCCAUGUCCCUCCCAUUCAGAAUAUUCACCGCUGAAAAUGAGUCCAUCUUAAUGCAAACUGGUAGUUCCGUUCACUGUAUAGCAAUACAUAACCCCUUCAAGUUCGGACGCGAAGAAGCCAACAUGUCAUUCUUCAUCUGAUGGAAGAGUUGUUUUGCAUAGAAUAGAUUUUCAAUCAUUUUGCUUUUGCUUUUCUGAAAAUGCAUGCAGAAAAUUCCUUAAGUUUUAAUAAAACUUGUCGUUUUCAUAAAAACUGGAAUACAUUAGCUUCCACCCACUCAUAUGAUGCAUGCACUCAGAAUAUGUAUUUCGUCUUCUUAUUCCAUCCAUGAUACAUAAUAAUGUUACCAAGAUAGCUUGUCAGCCAACACGGAUACAUUGACACGACAAAACAGUAACUAUGUUCAUACCUUGUGAGUUAUAUUCUAAGUAUAUGUAGAUGAUGAUGAAUCAAAGCUUCUCUGCAUACUUAUUCCUCAGUACACUUGUCCUGUAACAAGUUAAUCUUGUGUCAUUAUAGAACUUAGUAGAGUUUAGUAACACUUGUAUGGGAAAAUGAUCAACCAGAUGAUCUGCAACUGCAAGAGCAGACUACCUUAUCAUGUAUUAGUACGUGACUCUCUUUCUUUGCUGCUGGUAACUUAUAACGGUAAUGCAGCACACGAAACUCAAGGGAAUCACGGUAAUACGUAUGCUCCCCUCUGAAAUACGCCCUUAACUACUGAAGAAAAAGAAGAAAUAGUACUCCUGACCAAAAAGAAGAAAAAUAGUACUCCUAACGAAAAAGAAGAAAUAACAACCAGCUCCAUGUAAAAAACAAUUAUGCUGCAAUAAUAGAAAUAGAAGUUACGAAAGCCUGACCAGUUAUUCCUGCCCACUAAGCAAAUCUGUAGCACUAUCAACCAUAAGCAUUGCAUUAUUGCAUACGGCUAAACUUGACAUAUAUGUACCACAGUGCAUCCAAACCUAUUUCAGCAAGAGAAAGAACUAUUCUUUUAGUUUUACUUGAUUUUUGUUAGCAAGUAAAAUUGUUGGAAGUGUAGCCGUGCGGUGCCAGAUUUACAUGGACCAUAUAAACCACAGUAAGAUGAUGUUAGCUAUCUGUAUAAAUUUGACUCUCCCAUGUCUGGAUUGCAAGAAUUUUCAUGAGCUUAC